AUUGAACGCUGGCGGCAGGCUUAACACAUGCAAGUCGAACGAGUGGCGGACGGGUGAGUAAUGCCUGGGAAUCUCGCUUAUGGAGGGGGAUAACUACGGGAAACUGUAGCUAAUACCGCGUACCAUCGGAUGAGCCCAAGUGGGAUUAGUUAGUUGGUGGGGUAACGGCUCACCAAGCCGACGAUCUCUAGCUGGUCUGAGAGGAUGACCAGCCACACGGGAACAGAGACACGGCCCAGACGACUACGGGAGGAAGCAGUGGGGAAUAUUGCGCAAUGGGGGCAAGCUGACGCAGAAAUGCCGCGUGAAUGAAGAAGGCCUUCGGGUUGUAAAGUUCUUUCGGUAGCGAGGCGUUAACUACAGAAGAAGCACCGGCUAACUCCGUGCCAGCAGCCGCGGUAAUAC
This 405-nucleotide ribosomal RNA is filed under the name uncultured bacterium. RNAcentral describes it as "partial 16S ribosomal RNA". It matches the Rfam family "Bacterial small subunit ribosomal RNA", at positions 30 to 526 of the family's 1533-position model. The record is from RNAcentral.